Molecule: non-coding RNA, 58 nt
Organism: Loxodonta africana (African savanna elephant)
Lineage: Eukaryota; Metazoa; Chordata; Mammalia; Proboscidea; Elephantidae
Source: Rfam
UAGCAUAGUGGUUAAGUGUUAUGGCUGCUAACCAAAAGGUCGGCAGUUCGAAUCUGCC